Molecule: transfer RNA, 71 nt
Filed under: Ovis aries (sheep)
Lineage: Eukaryota; Metazoa; Chordata; Mammalia; Artiodactyla; Bovidae
Rfam family: tRNA
About the family: Transfer RNA (tRNA) molecules are approximately 80 nucleotides in length. Their secondary structure includes four short double-helical elements and three loops (D, anti-codon, and T loops). Further hydrogen bonds mediate the characteristic L-shaped molecular structure. tRNAs have two regions of fundamental functional importance: the anti-codon, which is responsible for specific mRNA codon recognition, and the 3' end, to which the tRNAs corresponding amino acid is attached (by aminoacyl-tRNA synthetases). tRNAs cope with the degeneracy of the genetic code in two manners: having more than one tRNA (with a specific anti-codon) for a particular amino acid; and 'wobble' base-pairing, i.e. permitting non-standard base-pairing at the 3rd anti-codon position.
Source: Rfam by way of RNAcentral
UCCCUGGUGGCUCAGAGGUAAAGAAUCCACCUGCAGUGUGGGUGACCUGGGUUCAAUUCCUGAUUUGGGAA